UUCUGUAAGCCGUUGAAGGUGGCCUGUGAGGGUUGCUGGAGGUAUCAGAAGUGCGAAUGCUGACAUAAGUAACGAUAAAGCGGGUGAAAAGCCCGCUCGCCGGAAGACCAAGGGUUCCUGUCCAACGUUAAUCGGGGCAGGGUGAGUCGACCCCUAAGGCGAGGCUGAAAAGCGUAGUCGAUGGGAAACAGGUUAAUAUUCCUGUACUUGGUGUUACUGCGAAGGGGGGACGGAGAAGGCUAGGCUAGCCGGGCGACGGUUGUCCCGGUUUAAGCGUGUAGGGGGUGUGACCUGGUAAAUCCGGUUGCAUACUAACCCUGAGGCGUGAUGACGAUGCACUACGGUGCAGAAGUAGUUGAUGCCCUGCUUCCAGGAAAAUCCUCUAAGCUCCAGGUAACAUUAAAUCGUACCCCAAACCGACACAGGUGGUCAGGUAGAGAAUACCAAGGCGCUUGAGAGAACUCGGGUGAAGGAACUAGGCAAAAUGGUGCCGUAACUUCGGGAGAAGGCACGC
This 514-nucleotide ribosomal RNA is filed under the name Serratia marcescens. Its description in RNAcentral is "partial 23S ribosomal RNA". It matches the Rfam family "Bacterial large subunit ribosomal RNA", at positions 1239 to 1751 of the family's 2925-position model. Lineage: Bacteria; Pseudomonadati; Pseudomonadota; Gammaproteobacteria; Enterobacterales; Yersiniaceae. The record is from RNAcentral.